RNAcentral lists this ribosomal RNA (362 nucleotides) under uncultured bacterium. RNAcentral describes it as "bacterial SSU rRNA". It matches the Rfam family "Bacterial small subunit ribosomal RNA", at positions 907 to 1269 of the family's 1533-position model. The record is from RNAcentral.
GAAUUGACGGGGACCCGCACAAGCAGCGGAGCAUGUGGUUUAAUUCGAAGCAACGCGAAGAACCUUACCAGGCCUUGACAUCCUCUGACAAUCCUAGAGAUAGGACGUUUCCUUCGGGAACAGAGAGACAGGUGGUGCAUGGUUGUCGUCAGCUCGUGUCGUGAGAUGUUGGGUUAAGUCCCGCAACGAGCGCAACCCUUGCCUUUAGUUGCCAGCAUUGAGUUGGGCACUCUAAAGGGACUGCCGUAGACAAUACGGAGGAAGGUGGGGACGACGUCAAAUCAUCAUGCCCCUUAUGGCCUGGGCUACACACGUGCUACAAUGGGUUGGGACAAAGGGAAGCGAAGCCGCGAGGUGAAGCC